Molecule: ribosomal RNA, 547 nt
Filed under: uncultured archaeon
Lineage: Archaea
Description: bacterial SSU rRNA
Rfam family: Archaeal small subunit ribosomal RNA
Source: RNAcentral
ACGGGGAGCAGCAGGCGCGAAACCUUUACACUGCACGCCAGUGCGAUAAGGGAAUCCCAAGUGCGCAGGCAUAGAGCCUGCGCUUUUGUACACCGUAGGGAGGUGUACGAAUAAGGGCUGGGCAAGACCGGUGCCAGCCGCCGCGGUAAUACCGGCAGCCCGAGUGAUGGCCGAUCUUAUUGGGCCUAAAGCGUCCGUAGCUGGCCGCACAAGUCCAUCGGAAAAUCCACCCGCCCAACGGGUGGGCGUCCGGUGGAAACUGUGUGGCUUGGGACCGGAAGGCGCGACGGGUACGUCCGGGGUAGGAGUGAAAUCCCGUAAUCCUGGACGGACCGCCGAUGGCGAAAGCACGUCGCGAGGACGGAUCCGACAGUGAGGGACGAAAGCCAGGGUCUCGAACCGGAUUAGAUACCCGGGUAGUCCUGGCCGUAAACAAUGCCUGCUAGGUGUGGCUCCCGCUACGAGCGGGUGCUGUGCCGUAGGGAAGCCGCUAAGCAGGCCGCCUGGGAAGUACGUCCGCAAGGAUGAAACUCAAAGGAAUUGACGG